CUUACUCUACUCACGCACACCAGAGACAAAGUCUCAUUCUCUCACACAGCCCAAGAUUGGGGUUCACACGCCACCACACUACCCGUCCGGCCGCACUCCCAUUCGGUCAGCCAUGGUGACGCCGGCGUCACCUCUACCAUCCAGCCAGCCACCGCAGGCCACGGCGACCUCGCCCUUUUCCUCUCUGCGCGAACGCGAUUCCAACUCUGAUAUCUCACUGCUCCCGCCACUUCCACCGGAACUGGCAGCCACGAGUCGCAGCCCCAUGCGUCGCAAGCACCUACGCUCGCCGCCAGAGCCAUCGCCGGCCACGGCGUCAGGCUCUCUCCCUCUCUCCUCUUCAUUUCGCGCACUGUCCAGAGUCGCCGCCGGUACCUGCGAUUGACACCAGCAACCACAUCGGCUUCGCUACUAAUAUCCUGGGAUUUCCCUUUGGAAACUUGCGGUUCCGAUCCCGACCAACUAGGGGUGGUGGUGGAGUAGUCGUAGAAGACAUGGGAUUGGGAACUGCUUCAGGCUUGGGGGUUCCACUGUCGGGGUUAGCUCGUUUGGAUGUCAUUGUAGUGGAAGCAAUUGGACGGGUGGAGGCACCGAAACUGCCAGUGGUUGCUGCACGACGAUGAUGGAGGCGGGGCAACUACCGAAAUUGCCGUUAUCGAAGCGUACGAAGGAGGUGUCGUGGUGAUCAAUUUCGGUUUCAAUUUCCAGGGCCGAAUAACGGAUGAAUAGAGUUUGAGCUUUUUGGCUAUGUAAGACUGUUGUGGUGGUUGUUCUUUCUCUUGGAGAGGAAGAAGAAGCAGAGGUUGUGUGUGAGGGGUUUACGAAGAUGAAUGGAGAUGAAUUUGUAGAUUAGUGAUGAACGAGAAUGGUUCUUUGUGUUUCUUUAUGGAUUGAAUAAAAAUGGAGCUUAGCAUUGAGUGGUUGAAGGUGUGAUGGACAGUGCAGGGACGCAUCAUCAUUUGGGUUCAGUGUGGGUAAGAUACAAGCUUGUGUAUGGGGCUGGAAAUUAGUUUUGGUUCUUGGUGAUUGGUGCCUAUCUCUGUGACUUGGUGCCUUGCAGGUUGAGGGUGAUCUAGGCUAUAUAAACUACACUCUCUGGUUUUGUCCACUUCUAAACUUUCGUUAGAGUUUUCUACCUUGGUUUUGUAUAUCAAGUCUCUCUGUUUAUUCCAUGUCUGUUGAGAUAUAUUCUCAGUUGUGAACGACUUAAGUUAACUGGGUUAGUUUUCCUUUUUUUGGUUGUUGGCUCUUUUGGACACAGGGAAAAGGAACAGAGCACGGGAUAAUGGGGAUAAUGAUAAAGAUCGGGAAAGUUUUAUGUGACGGUAUCAUACACGAUUAUAGUAGGAAAAUAUUCAACAACAGUCAUAGCAGCAAUGUAACAAUAAUAUGUUCAAGAGUAAGCAACCAGUCUUACUAAGCAUUGAGUGCAAGGAGGCAUUACUUACAUCUUGAAAACUCGAUUGCUAAUGUCAACCUUGUGAUUCCAAUGGGUCUCUCCCUUUUCCCUGGCCAACGAGCUUCUCCCUUCCCCUUUCUGUGGAUCCUCCGACUCCAACGAGAUGAUUCUUUUUUAUGGUGAAGAGAGUUGUCUCGUCAUCUCCCUUCAGUGAGUCUCCACUUCUCGCUAUCAAAGUAUAUUCCCCUACAAAACCACCCGUCCUUUGCUUUUUCUUUGCUUUAUCGCAGAAAUCCCCAUAACAAAACGCCUCUGCCACCUCCCAAAACCUUGCCUGCAGAAAACGGUUUUUCUUGUCAUCUUGUACAGUCUGCGCCCUCUUUUUCUUUUCCUUUUUUUUUUUUUCGUUUUCCCUUUUUUCUUUUCUUUUUUCGUUUUUUUUAAAUUAAUUAUAUUAAUUAUAUUAAAUCAAAACUAAAAUUACAAGUAAGAAUACAAAUAAAAAAGGAAAAUUGAAAAUUAUAAAAGAAAGAGGAAAGUAAAACAAAAAUAAAUAAAAAAUAAAAAUAUAAUAAUAAUAGUAAAAGAAUAAAAUGAUAACAAGACAUGAAAUAAGAUGAAAUAAAGUAAAAAAAAAAAACAAAUGUUAUUUGUCAUCCGGACAAAAUUGGAUGUUGACAGAGUGGACUGUUGAUGAAAAUAGAAAAGCUCAGUAUGAUGUUAAAAUUAGAAAUAUAAUUGUCUCUGUAGUGACAAUUGAUGAAUUUUUCAGAUGUUAAAGAUAGAAAUAUAAUUGUCUCUGCAGUGACAAUUGAUGAAUUUUUCAGGAUAUCUCAAUGCAAAUCUGCGAAGGAAAAG
Molecule: long non-coding RNA, 2257 nt
Filed under: Vigna radiata
Lineage: Eukaryota; Viridiplantae; Streptophyta; Magnoliopsida; Fabales; Fabaceae
Description: long non-coding RNA (VRAD_LNC017388)
Source: RNAcentral